RNAcentral lists this ribosomal RNA (572 nucleotides) under uncultured Planctomycetota bacterium. Its description in RNAcentral is "bacterial SSU rRNA". It matches the Rfam family "Bacterial small subunit ribosomal RNA", at positions 347 to 927 of the family's 1533-position model. The record is from RNAcentral. Lineage: Bacteria; Pseudomonadati; Planctomycetota.
GGCUGCAGUCGAGGAUCUUCGGCAAUGGGCGCAAGCCUGACCGAGCGACGCCGCGUGGAGGAUGAAGGCCUUCGGGUUGUAAACUCCUGUCGAGGGGGAGGAAGGGGCAACCUUGACCGAUCCCUGGAGGAAGCACGGGCUAAGUUCGUGCCAGCAGCCGCGGUAAGACGAACCGUGCGAACGUUAUUCGGAAUCACUGGGCUUAAAGCGCGUGUAGGCGGAUGGGAACGUCGGAUACUGAAAGCCCCCGGCUCAACCGGGGAAGUGGUGCCGAAACGACCUGUCUGGAGGGACGUAGGGGGAUCUGGAACUUCCGGUGGAGCGGUGAAAUGCGUUGAGAUCGGAAGGAACGCCCGUGGCGCAAGCGAGGUCCUGGACGUCUGCUGACGCUGAGACGCGAAAGCUAGGGGAGCAAACGGGAUUAGAUACCCCGGUAGUCCUAGCCGUAAACGAUGGGCACUGGGUAGGGGGCUCGCCGAUGGGCUCUCUGCCGUAGCGAAAGCGUGAAGUGCCCCGCCUGGGGAGUAUGGUCGCAAGGCUGAAACUCAAAGGAAUUGACGGGGGCUCACACA